ACGAACGCUGGCGGCGUGCUUGACACAUGCAAGUCGAACGAAGAGCGAUGGAAGCUUGCUUCUAUCAAUCUUAGUGGCGAACGGGUGAGUAACGCGUAAUCAACCUGCCCUUCAGAGGGGGACAACAGUUGGAAACGACUGCUAAUACCGCAUACGAUCUAAUCUCGGCAUCGAGGAUAGAUGAAAGGUGGCCUCUACAUGUAAGCUAUCACUGAAGGAGGGGAUUGCGUCUGAUUAGCUAGUUGGAGGGGUAACGGCCCACCAAGGCGAUGAUCAGUAGCCGGUCUGAGAGGAUGAACGGCCACAUUGGGACUGAGACACGGCCCAGACUCCUACGGGAGGCAGCAGUGGGGAAUCUUCCGCAAUGGACGAAAGUCUGACGGAGCAACGCCGCGUGAGUGAUGACGGCCUUCGGGUUGUAAAGCUCUGUUAAUCGGGACGAAAGGCCUUCUUGCGAAUAGUGAGAAGGAUUGACGGUACCGGAAUAGAAAGCCACGGCUAACUACGUG
Molecule: ribosomal RNA, 509 nt
Filed under: uncultured bacterium
Lineage: Bacteria
Description: partial 16S ribosomal RNA
Rfam family: Bacterial small subunit ribosomal RNA
Source: RNAcentral